GAUGAACGCUGGCGGCGUGCCUAAUACAUGCAAGUCGAGCGAACGGACGAGAAGCUUGCUUCUCUGAUGUUAGCGGCGGACGGGUGAGUAACACGUGGAUAACCUACCUAUAAGACUGGGAUAACUUCGGGAAACCGGAGCUAAUACCGGAUAAUAUUUUGAACCGCAUGGUUUAAAAGUGAAAGACGGUCUUGCUGUCACUUAUAGAUGGAUCCGCGCUGCAUUAGCUAGUUGGUAAGGUAACGGCUUACCAAGGCAACGAUGCAUAGCCGACCUGAGAGGGUGAUCGGCCACACUGGAACUGAGACACGGUCCAGACUCCUACGGGAGGCAGCAGUAGGGAAUCUUCCGCAAAGGGCGAAAGCCUGACGGAGCAACGCCGCGUGAGUGAUGAAGGUCUUCGGAUCGUAAAACUCUGUUAUUAGGGAAGAACAUAUGUGUAAGUAACUGCGCACAUCUUGACGGUACCUAAUCAGAAAGCCACGGCUAACUACGUG
Molecule: ribosomal RNA, 497 nt
Filed under: uncultured bacterium
Lineage: Bacteria
Description: partial 16S ribosomal RNA
Rfam family: Bacterial small subunit ribosomal RNA
Source: RNAcentral